This 345-nucleotide unclassified non-coding RNA is filed under the name soil metagenome. RNAcentral's name for it is "partial contains 5.8S ribosomal RNA, internal transcribed spacer 2, and large subunit ribosomal RNA". The stretch from base 1 to 120 matches the Rfam family "5.8S ribosomal RNA", at positions 35 to 154 of the family's 154-position model. The record is from RNAcentral.
GAUGAAGAACGUAGCGAAAUGCGAUAAGUAGUGUGAAUUGCAGAAUUCAGUGAAUCAUCGAGUCUUUGAACGCACAUUGCGCCCCCUGGUAUUCCGGGGGGCAUGCCUGUCCGAGCGUCAUUGCUGCCCUCAAGCACGGCUUGUGUGUUGGGCCUCCGUCCUCCUCCCGGGGGACGGGCCCGAAAGGCAGCGGCGGCACCGCGUCCGGUCCUCGAGCGUAUGGGGCUUCGUCACCCGCUCUUGUAGGCCCGGCCGGCGCUUGCCGACACAUCAGUCUUUUUGCCAGGUUGACCUCGGAUCAGGUAGGGAUACCCGCUGAACUUAAGCAUAUCAAUAAGCGGAGGA